This 253-nucleotide ribosomal RNA is filed under the name uncultured bacterium. RNAcentral's name for it is "partial 16S ribosomal RNA". It matches the Rfam family "Bacterial small subunit ribosomal RNA", at positions 524 to 776 of the family's 1533-position model. The record is from RNAcentral.
UACGUAGGGGGCAAGCGUUGUCCGGAAUUAUUGGGCGUAAAGCGCGUGUAGGCGGCCCGGUAAGUCCGCUGUGAAAGUCGGGGGCUCAACCCUCGAAAGCCGGUGGAUACUGUCGGGCUCGAGUACGGAAGAGGCGAGUGGAAUUCCUGGUGUAGCGGUGAAAUGCGCAGAUAUCAGGAGGAACACCAAUUGCGAAGGCAGCUCGCUGGGACGUUACUGACGCUGAGACGCGAAAGCGUGGGGAGCAAACAGG